RNAcentral lists this ribosomal RNA (459 nucleotides) under uncultured bacterium. RNAcentral describes it as "partial 16S ribosomal RNA". It matches the Rfam family "Bacterial small subunit ribosomal RNA", at positions 338 to 795 of the family's 1533-position model. The record is from RNAcentral.
CCUACGGGAGGCAGCAGUGAGGAAUAUUGGUCAAUGGCCGCAGGGCUGAACCAGCCAAGUCGCGUGAGGGAUGACGGUCCUAUGGAUUGUAAACCUCUUUUGUCAGGGAGCAAAGGGCGCCACGUGUGGCGCUUUGCGAGUACCUGAAGAAAAAGCAUCGGCUAACUCCGUGCCAGCAGCCGCGGUAAUACGGAGGAUGCGAGCGUUAUCCGGAUUUAUUGGGAUUAACGGGUGCGCAGGCGGAAUGUCAAGUCAGCGGUAAAAUUUCGGGGCUCAACCCCGUCGUGCCGUUGAAACUGUCGUUAUUGAGUGAGCGAGAAGUAUGCGGAAUGCGUGGUGUAGCGGUGAAAUGCAUAGAUAUCACGCAGAACUCCGAUUGCGAAGGCAGCAUACCGGCGCUCAACUGACGCGCAUGCACGAAAGCGUGGGUAUCGAACAGGAUUAGAUACCCGUGUAGUC